Molecule: ribosomal RNA, 329 nt
Filed under: uncultured eukaryote
Lineage: Eukaryota
Description: partial 18S ribosomal RNA
Rfam family: Eukaryotic small subunit ribosomal RNA
Source: RNAcentral
CCCUUAGAUGUUCUGGGCCGCACGCGCGCUACACUGACGAUGGCAACGAGUUUUUCCUUCGCCGAAAGGUGUGGGUAAUCUUUUGAAACAUCGUCGUGCUGGGGAUAGAUCAUUGCAAUUUUUGAUCUUGAACGAGGAAUUCCUAGUAAGCGCGAGUCAUCAGCUCGCGUUGAUUACGUCCCUGUCCUUUGUACACACCGCCCGUCGCUACUACCGAUUGAAUGGUUUAGUGAGGACUCCUGAUUGGCGCCGCCGCCCCGGCAACGGAGCAGCGGACUGCCGAAAAGUUGUUCAAACUUGAUCAUUUAGAGGAAGUAAAAGUCGUAACA